Molecule: ribosomal RNA, 241 nt
Filed under: uncultured bacterium
Lineage: Bacteria
Description: partial 16S ribosomal RNA
Rfam family: Bacterial small subunit ribosomal RNA
Source: RNAcentral
AGCGGCGGACGGGUGAGUAACGCGUGGGUAACCGUGCCUCAUACAGGGGGAUAACAGUUGGAAACGGCUGCUAAUACCGCAUAAGCGCACAGUACCGCAUGGUACCGUGUGAAAAACUCCGGUGGUAUGAGAUGGACCCGCGUCUGAUUAGCUAGUUGGUGGGGUAACGGCCUACCAAGGCGACGAUCAGUAGCCGACCUGAGAGGGUGACCGGCUACAUUGGGACUGAGACACGGCCCAA